This 71-nucleotide transfer RNA is filed under the name Ovis aries (sheep). It matches the Rfam family "tRNA". Rfam says of the family: Transfer RNA (tRNA) molecules are approximately 80 nucleotides in length. Their secondary structure includes four short double-helical elements and three loops (D, anti-codon, and T loops). The record is from Rfam by way of RNAcentral. Lineage: Eukaryota; Metazoa; Chordata; Mammalia; Artiodactyla; Bovidae.
UCCUGGCUGGCUCAGUGGUAAAGAAUCUGCCUGCAAUGCAGGAUACCUGGGUUCAAUCCCUGAGUCAAGAA